Solenopsis invicta (red fire ant) is the source of this 3005-nucleotide long non-coding RNA. RefSeq lists it as uncharacterized. The transcript has 3 exons. NCBI's taxonomy places the organism in Eukaryota, Metazoa, Arthropoda, Insecta, Hymenoptera, Formicidae. The record is from RefSeq and is a predicted model, not a curated record.
UCAGAUUUUAUCGGAUUUUAUUGGAUUUCAUUGGAUUUUAUGCACUUCAUGGAUCACUGGGAAAAUAGAUGUACACUGGAUUAGAAGACUUCAAGAUUUCAAGAUUGCAUCGAACUUUAUUAGGCUACAUGGAAUCUCACCAGCUUUAUUGGACUUUAUCCGAGUAUCAUGGACUUUGUCGAACUGUGUUGGAUUUCAUCGGACUUUACUGGAUUUUAUGGACUACGCAGGACUUUAUUGGAUUUUAGCACAUUUCAUCGGACUUUGUGAACUUCAUGGACAGUCAUGGACUUCAUCGGACUACGUCAGAUUUUAUCGGAUUUUAUUGGAUUUUAAUGGAUUUCACGCACUUCAUGGAUUACUGGGAAAAUAGAUGUAUACUGGACUAGAAGACUUUAAGAUUUCAAGAUUGCAUCGAACUUUAUUAGACUACACGGAAUGUCACGAGCUUCAUUGGACUUUGUCGGAGUAUCAUGGACUUCGUCGAACUUUGUUGCAUUUCACCGAACUUUGCCGGACUUUAUGGACUACGCAGGACUUUAUCGGAUUUUACCAGACUUUAUCGGACUUUGUAGAAUUCAUGGACAAUCAUGGACUUCGUCGGACUACGUCAGAUUUUAUCGAAUUUUAUUGAAUUUCAUUGGAUUUCACGCACUUCAUGGAUUACUGGAAAAAUAGACGUACACUGGACUACAAGAUUUCAAGAUUUCAAGAUUGCACCUGAUUUUAUUUGACACGGAAUGUCAUGGACUUCAUCGGACUUUGUUGGGGUAUCAUGGACUUUGUCGGACUUUGUUGGAUUGCACCAUACUUUACACACUUUACGAACCACUAGGAAAAUAGGUGUAUACCGAACCAUAAGACUUCAAGAUUUCUGAUUUCAAGAUUUCACCGGAUUUUACCAGACUACAUGGACUGUCAUGGAUUAUACAAACUGUCAUGGAUUUUAUCGGACUACGUCGGACUUUGUCGGAUUUUACUGAAUUUCACCGGACUUUACGCACUUUAUGGACCACUGGGAAAUUAGGUAUACACCGAACUACAAGACUUCAAGAUUUCACCGGAUUUCACCAGAUUUUAUGGACUGUCAUGGUUUUCAUUGGACUUCAUCAGUCUUUGUCGGAUUUUACGGACUACGCUGGGUUUUAUUGAACUUAUAAAAAAUAAUAUUUUAUUUAGUUAGUUUUGAAUCUUACAAUUACCUGUAAGAUUUGAAAUGUAUUUAUAAGUACUUUCUAACAUAAAGAAUUGAAUAUUUUACUAGUAUUCAAACUUGAAAUAUUAAUUUGUUAAAUUAAAACGUAUUGUACUGUGUGGUUACUACUGUGUGGUGAUCCACGCUGAACUUUCCAGCAUUUUUACUUUUCAGCAUUUUUACUUUUCAGCAUUUUUAUUUUCAGCACUUUUACUUUUCAGCAUUUUUACUUUCCAGCAUUUCGUUUUCAAGAUACAUUUUAACAUUUAAUUCGGGAUAACCAUUCAGAAGAAAGGUGUACACCGGACUUAUAACUUCAAGACUUUAUCGCACUCUACGGAUUGUCAUGGACUUCGAUGGACCUUAUCGAGUUUCACCGGAUUUUACCGAAUUUUAUCGGACUUCGUAGACUUCAUGGAUUUCACGGAUUGUCAUUGGACUACGUCGAACUUUAUCUGACAACGAAAUAUACCGUUUAAUAUUUUAAUAUUGAAUUAUAAUUUUAUUUGUUUUCAUAUUAGGUAGCACGACACUUUUUGUUCAAGUAUUGUGCUGCCUAAUAUGCUGGUUCAUAUUAAAAAAUUUUUUUAAAUAUGCAAUCGCCAGAAUUAUUUUUAAUAAUGAUUGUGUAGAGAUCCAGCAACAGUUCUUGCUAGAUCUGUAUCAGAACUAGCAAGAACUGUUACUGGAACUGUGAUAGUAGGAAACAUGAUAUGUUUUUUCCAAGUAUCGAUAUGUUUAAUAUUUUAGUGUAAAAAAAAAUGUUAAUUGUAUGAAUUUUGUUUGCAAUCAGUGAUAGAACUCCAUAAUACUAACUAGUACUUUUGUCAAAUAUAUUAAUAUUUAUUGUUUUCUUGUAUUUUAGAGGAGGAGGUGUCGUGCUAGAUUCACGAAGUUAACACAUUUUUUUUUAUUUUUGGGGUAAAAACUGGGGUAAAAUUUUUUGUUAUUUUUAUAGGAACUUCGAAACUAAAAAAAAAAAAAAAAACGCCACUGGAACUUUAUAUAUAUUUUUCAUAUUAACAGAAUAUUGUGCCAACUCAAAUCCGGAAACGUCAACGUCAUUACAACUCAGCCUCGAGCAUCGUAUUGAUUUACAAGAUCUGACAGGAGGAGGAGGCUUAGGAGAGACAUCUGGCCCCAGCGGAGCAACUUUGGGUAUCACCGCAGCUUCGUGGCUGACAAGUAACUCCGCUCGUUGCGCAUCGGGUCGGUGAGUCCAAAAUAAAUUUUUUUAUUAUAUUUCAAUUUUGUAGAUGUCCUGCGCAGGAUCGAAGCAUGAUAUUAUUGCGUAUUAUUGUAAUCAUAUUUUUGCGAGUGAGUGAAUGAGUGUAACAAAAUCUGAUAAUCUGAAGAAGAGGAAGAAAAAGAAGUCCGGAAGGCAACCUUGAGGUGAGUAAUAUUUUUAACGUGUACAGGAUGUAUAACGUAUCUAGACUAAUUAAUGGAUAUCGUAUGUUACAGAUGUUCCUCGAGGUGGAAGCGACGAGAACAGGUAAAUCAUCGUCGCCGACUUAUAAUAAAGUAAACGAACCGCAGCCGGUUCGUCGCGCGUUUUUUCCGGGAGUGCCGUGUAAAGUAACUGGACUAAUGGACUAGAAAGACUCUUAUAGACUUAAUUAGUCCACGGGCGCAAUUUUAGUACAUUUUACGCGAGUGUUCCGCGAGUGCAACAAGAGGAAAAGACUCGACCUGGAGCUGAGAGGAGGAGGAGGCCUGGGAAAGGCAUCUGGCCCCAGCGGAGCAACCUUGGGGUAAAUAUCAUUCUUUAUUUAUAUACAUUUAAUAAUCUUUUUCUAUUUUAUUCUAU